This 301-nucleotide ribosomal RNA is filed under the name uncultured bacterium. RNAcentral's name for it is "partial 16S ribosomal RNA". It matches the Rfam family "Bacterial small subunit ribosomal RNA", at positions 509 to 809 of the family's 1533-position model. The record is from RNAcentral.
CAGCAGCCGCGGUAAUACGUAGGGUGCAAGCGUUGUCCGGAUUUAUUGGGCGUAAAGAGCUCGUAGGCGGUUUGUCGCGUCGAAUGUGAAAGCCCGGGGCUUAACCCCGGGUCUGCAUUCGAUACGGGCAGACUAGAGUUCGGUAGGGGAGACUGGAAUUCCUGGUGUAGCGGUGAAAUGCGCAGAUAUCAGGAGGAACACCGGUGGCGAAGGCGGCUGACUGGACAAGUAUUGACGCUGAGGUGCGAAAGCGUGGGGAGCAAACGGGAUUAGAUACCCCAGUAGUCCCUGUCUCUUAUAA